AGUAAUUUUAUACUUCAGUUAUCUGAUUUAAAGUAUGUAUGAACAUAUUUAGUUUUUACACCAUGUUUUUGGCAGGUUUCGAUAUUUUCAAAAAAAAAUGAUGAAAAUGCCCCUGUGAGCCAAAAAAUAAUAUUUUAUUGUUUUGAUUUGGAAACGACUUAUGAUUUCUUGAAAUGCGAAAUUUAAUAAUUGUCGCUCACC
RNAcentral lists this long non-coding RNA (201 nucleotides) under Theobroma cacao (cacao). RNAcentral describes it as "long non-coding RNA (TCAC_LNC000946)". Lineage: Eukaryota; Viridiplantae; Streptophyta; Magnoliopsida; Malvales; Malvaceae. The record is from RNAcentral.